GUGCUUAACACAUGCAAGUCGAGCGGUAAGGCCCUUCGGGGUACACGAGCGGCGAACGGGUGAGUAACACGUGGGUGAUCUGCCCUGCACUUCGGGAUAAGCCUGGGAAACUGGGUCUAAUACCGGAUAUGACCAAGGACUGCAUGGUUUUUGGUGGAAAGGUUUACUGGUGCAGGAUGGGCCCGCGGCCUAUCAGCUUGUUGGUGGGGUAAUGGCCUACCAAGGCGACGACGGGUAGCCGACCUGAGAGGGUGACCGGCCACACUGGGACUGAGACACGGCCCAGACUCCUACGGGAGGCAGCAGUGGGGAAUAUUGCACAAUGGGCGAAAGCCUGAUGCAGCGACGCCGCGUGAGGGAUGACGGCCUUCGGGUUGUAAACCUCUUUCAGCAG
RNAcentral lists this ribosomal RNA (394 nucleotides) under Rhodococcus koreensis. Its description in RNAcentral is "bacterial SSU rRNA". It matches the Rfam family "Bacterial small subunit ribosomal RNA", at positions 44 to 442 of the family's 1533-position model. The record is from RNAcentral. Lineage: Bacteria; Bacillati; Actinomycetota; Actinomycetes; Mycobacteriales; Nocardiaceae.